CCCAAUUUUGAAUCAUUUGCGUCGAAUCCAACAAAGAUGACGAAGCUAUGGCGGACCAACUCAUAGACGAGCAGAUCUCCGAGUUUAAGGAAGCCUUUAGAGGAUGGUGAUGGUUAAAUCUCUUCUCACACCACCUUUUUAUAUAUAUAUAUAUAUAUAUAUAUGUGUGAAUCUGCGAGCAUAUCUCGUUUUUCUUCCAUUUUCAUAUGCAAACUGCAAUCGAUGAUUAUAAAAUGAUAGAGCCAUGAAUUUGAGUCGAUACUCGCUUUAGAUUCGGUGUAUCCUCUCUGAGUAGUUUUUGUUGGAUUCGUUUUUGCUUUUUGAUCUUGUCGAGCAUCUUCUCCAAAUGACCAGAGCUUCAACGAGUAUGGUGUCUCUAACUUAUUACCCACCAUCUCCUCUUCCUACGAAGAAACCAACGAGUAUCAUUGUCAGAACAGAAAGCUGAAACCAAAACCAGCAAUUACGAAAACAACGGCGAGGCAAGAAGCCCACGAUAACUCAGAUCGAGCUAGCAUUUGGUGCUGGAUCGUAUCAUGAUUCUGAAGGGAACUGGGUGAGAAUACAGUAUUCGAGAAAUUGGAUCAUGAUAAUAAUUUCGAAGGAAAACUUAAGAAGAAGCUUACGAGAGAUCGGAGAAAUGUUUUGUUCCUACGGUAAACCAGUUUUGUAAAAAAUCAUUCAUUUUCUCCAAAAGAUGGAGAAUUCUGUUCCCGCUCAUGAAUCUUCUCUUCGCUCCACAACAUCACCUCGAUCACUCAGAUUUCAUGCAUCUUCAAUCAAGGUAAAAUACAGAGACGAAAAAGGAGGGACAAGUUUCAGGAAAGCUUCAAGGCCUUUGUUGAUAAAACCAUGUCUCUACAAAGCAGCAUCAAGAAAUUCUCACUAAACUGACGACACAAUCUUAACGACAUGGCUCAGACUAACUGAUGGGUAUCCACUGUAUUAGAACGAGGCGUCUUGAAUCUGUGAGCCACCACGUUCUCUUCCUUCCAUUGUCUUCACAAGCAAGACGCUGGUUAAACUGACAUUAGGAACAGAGCUUUGUGCCGGAGACAGAUCUCCAAAAGUGUUUCUUCCACUGCUAACGUAUCUCUUCCUCAAUACAGUUUUAAGUCUUAGAGAAUGAUUUUUACAAUAUUUAGGAAGCCAUUACUAAAUGUAUAAGAACCUGUACCAAAAUUUGACGAAUGUUUUCUUCAAGGAUUCUUGAAAAGUUUAUGAAUCCUUUCCAGAGUUUU
Long non-coding RNA from Eutrema salsugineum, 1241 nucleotides. RefSeq lists it as uncharacterized. The transcript is spliced from 3 exons. The record is from RefSeq and is a predicted model, not a curated record. Lineage: Eukaryota; Viridiplantae; Streptophyta; Magnoliopsida; Brassicales; Brassicaceae.